AGUGAACGCUGGCGGUAGGCCUAACACAUGCAAGUCGAACGGCAGCACAGUAAGAGCUUGCUCUUACGGGUGGCGAGUGGCGGACGGGUGAGGAAUACAUCGGAAUCUACUUUUUCGUGGGGGAUAACGUAGGGAAACUUACGCUAAUACCGCAUACGACCUACGGGUGAAAGCAGGGGAUCUUCGGACCUUGCGCGAUUGAAUGAGCCGAUGUCGGAUUAGCUAGUUGGCGGGGUAAAGGCCCACCAAGGCGACGAUCCGUAGCUGGUCUGAGAGGAUGAUCAGCCACACUGGAACUGAGAAACGGUCCAGACUCCUACGGGAGGCAGCAGUGGGGAAUAUUGGACAAUGGGCGCAAGCCUGAUCCAGCCAUACCGCGUGGGUGAAGAAGGCCUUCGGGUUGUAAAGCCCUUUUGUUGGGAAAGAAGAGCAGCAGGUUAAUACCCCGCUGUUCUGACGGUACCCAAAGAAUAAGCACCGGCUAACUUCGUG
Molecule: ribosomal RNA, 492 nt
Filed under: uncultured bacterium
Lineage: Bacteria
Description: partial 16S ribosomal RNA
Rfam family: Bacterial small subunit ribosomal RNA
Source: RNAcentral